AGAGCGAACGCUGGCGGCAGGCCUAAUACAUGCAAGUCGAACGGAUCCUUCGGGAUUAGUGGCGGACGGGUGAGUAACACGUGGGAACGUGCCCUUUGGUUCGGAACAACUCAGGGAAACUUGAGCUAAUACCGGAUGUGCCCUUCGGGGGAAAGAUUUAUCGCCAUUGGAGCGGCCCGCGUCUGAUUAGCUAGUUGGUGAGGUAAAGGCUCACCAAGGCUUCGAUCAGUAGCUGGUCUGAGAGGAUGAUCAGCCACACUGGGACUGAGACACGGCCCAGACUCCUACGGGAGGCAGCAGUAGGGAAUCUUGCGCAAUGGGCGAAAGCCUGACGCAGCCAUGCCGCGUGAAUGAUGAAGGUCUUAGGAUUGUAAAAUUCUUUCAGCGGGGACGAUAAUGACGGUACCCGCAGAAGAAGCCCGGCUAACUUCGCGCCAGCAGCCGC
Molecule: ribosomal RNA, 445 nt
Filed under: uncultured bacterium
Lineage: Bacteria
Description: SSU rRNA
Rfam family: Bacterial small subunit ribosomal RNA
Source: RNAcentral